GAUGAAGAACGUAGCGAAAUGCGAUAAGUAAUGCGAAUUGCAGAAUUUCCGUGAGUCAUCGAAUCUUUGAACGCACAUUGCGCCCGCCAGUAUUCUGGCGGGCAUGCCUGUCUGAGCGUCAUUUCAACCCUCAUACCCCUAGGGCGUGGUGUUGGGGAUCGGCCAAAGCCCGCGAGGGACGGCCGGCCCCUAAAUCUAGUGGCGGACCCGUCGUGGCCUCCUCUGCGAAGUAGUGAUAUUCCGCAUCGGAGAGCGAUGAGCCCCUGCCGUUAAACCCCCAACUUUCCAAGGUUGACCUCAGAUCAGGUAGGAAUACCCGCUGAACUUAAGCAUAUCAAUAAGCGGAGGA
RNAcentral lists this unclassified non-coding RNA (349 nucleotides) under soil metagenome. RNAcentral describes it as "partial contains 5.8S ribosomal RNA, internal transcribed spacer 2, and large subunit ribosomal RNA". The stretch from base 1 to 121 matches the Rfam family "5.8S ribosomal RNA", at positions 35 to 154 of the family's 154-position model. The record is from RNAcentral.